UUUUGAAAGUAAUAAAUCAAAACAAAGAAGAAUUUGACAAACAGUUGGUCGAAAUCCAACAGAAAAUACUCGAAGAGUACAAUAAAAUGUCGACUAAGAAUCCUGCCAAAGAUGUCA
Molecule: long non-coding RNA, 117 nt
Organism: Xenia sp. Carnegie-2017
Lineage: Eukaryota; Metazoa; Cnidaria; Anthozoa; Malacalcyonacea; Xeniidae
Exons: 2
Source: RefSeq, a predicted model, not a curated record